Molecule: ribosomal RNA, 253 nt
Filed under: uncultured bacterium
Lineage: Bacteria
Description: partial 16S ribosomal RNA
Rfam family: Bacterial small subunit ribosomal RNA
Source: RNAcentral
UACGUAGGGUGCGAGCGUUGUCCGGAAUUACUGGGCGUAAAGAGCUUGUAGGCGGUCUGUCACGUCGGUUGUGAAAACUUGCAGCUCAACUGCAAGCUUGCAGUCGAUACGGGCAGACUAGAGUACUUCAGGGGAGACUGGAAUUCCUGGUGUAGCGGUGAAAUGCGUAGAUAUCGAGAGGAACACCUGCGGCGAAGGCGGGUUGCUGGGCUGACACUGACGCUGAUGCGCGAAAGCCAGGGGAGCGAACGGG